UACAGAGGUCUCAAGCGUUGUUCGGAUUCAUUGGGCGUAAAGGGUGCGUAGGCGGCGCGGUAAGUCGGGUGUGAAAUCUUGGAGCUUAACUCCGAAACUGCAUUCGAUACUGCCGUGCUUGAGGACUGGAGAGGAGACUGGAAUUUACGGUGUAGCGGUGAAAUGCGUGGAUAUCGUAAGGAAGACCAGUGGCGAAGGCGGGUCUCUGGACAGUUCCUGACGCUGAGGCACGAAGGCCAGGGGAGCAAACGGG
RNAcentral lists this ribosomal RNA (253 nucleotides) under uncultured bacterium. Its description in RNAcentral is "partial 16S ribosomal RNA". It matches the Rfam family "Bacterial small subunit ribosomal RNA", at positions 524 to 776 of the family's 1533-position model. The record is from RNAcentral.